Molecule: long non-coding RNA, 370 nt
Organism: Alligator sinensis (Chinese alligator)
Lineage: Eukaryota; Metazoa; Chordata; Crocodylia; Alligatoridae
Exons: 4
Source: RefSeq, a predicted model, not a curated record
CUCUAUAGUGGUUAGCUGGGUUUCAAGCAUUUGUUCCAGUCUUUUGUGGGGGAAAGGAAGCAGGGUGAGCUGGAUCAGACUCUUCCUGUGAUCUGGUAUAGUGAAAUAUGAGGUGAGGAACUUGAGCAUGGUCCCUGGGGAGCAAGGAGAAGUGGAGAUGGAGGGAGCCGCAUGGUCUGUGCUGCGUGGUGCCAUCAUUGAAGGUGCAAGGAGGAGCCAGACAGCAGCAGAGUGAAGAUCAGAGGAAAACGGGCAGCCAGAACACAUGGGGAACAGGAUUCAUCAACUGGCACGCUCUGUGUAUGGGGAGAACUACAACUAUCCCCACAGGACAUCGGGGCAGAGACUGGGUCAUCCCACUGCUGGCCCC